CACCCGGUAGCACAUGGUGUGCAUCUGCCUUGCAUGUCAAACAGCCGAUCGUGUAUAGCCUGCAGAAGGCCCCCGUUCGAUUCGGGGUCGGGUGA
This is a non-coding RNA of Mycena rosella, 95 nucleotides long. The record is from the annotation of a GenBank genome assembly. Lineage: Eukaryota; Fungi; Basidiomycota; Agaricomycetes; Agaricales; Mycenaceae.